GACGAACGCUGGCGGCGUGCUUAACACAUGCAAGUCGAACGGAAAGGCUCCAGCUUGCUGGAGUACUCGAGUGGUGAACGGGUGAGUAACACGUGGGUAAUCUGCCCUGCACUCUGGGAUAAGCCUGGGAAACUGGGUCUAAUACUGGAUAUGACCUUUCUCCUUAUGGGGUUUGGUGGAAAGUUUUUCGGUGUAGGAUGAGCCCGCGGCCUAUCAGCUUGUUGGUGGGGUGAUGGCCUACCAAGGCGACGACGGGUAGCCGGCCUGAGAGGGUGAUCGGCCACAUUGGGACUGAGAUACGGCCCAGACUCCUACGGGAGGCAGCAGUGGGGAAUAUUGCACAAUGGGCGGAAGCCUGAUGCAGCGACGCCGCGUGAGGGAUGACGGCCUUCGGGUUGUAAACCUCUUUCAGCAGGGACGAAGCGUAAGUGACGGUACCUGCAGAAGAAGCACCGGCUAACUAUGUG
This 467-nucleotide ribosomal RNA is filed under the name uncultured bacterium. RNAcentral describes it as "partial 16S ribosomal RNA". It matches the Rfam family "Bacterial small subunit ribosomal RNA", at positions 28 to 507 of the family's 1533-position model. The record is from RNAcentral.